AGAAGCCGGGCGGGGACCGCGCCCGUUACUCUAAUGAGAAACAGGCUCUACGGGACUGGGGAAAGAAGGGAGGGCUAGCCCGACGGGCCGGAGCUCCGCAGCGGCCGAGGCGGCUUCCCUCCCUCCCCUCGGUCCUCCCUCGGGCCCGCCCAGGGGACCCCCCCCCCAGCCCCCGGGGACCCCAGUGACGUGCGGAGCUGCCCCGGCUCCGAGCCCAGGGCCGCAACACAGGAGGGGCGGGGAGAAGAGGCCAGGCCGGCGGGGAGAGAAGAAUGUGCCGAGGCCGAGCGGGGAGGCGGCCUGUUAACAAAUGGCUUGAAGAUCUUCUCCCAUAGUACCAUCUGAAAAUGAUGACGAAAAUGCCCACCUUUUCAGUAGACAAAGUGACUUUUACAAAUCAGGAAUCUGUCCUAGGCUUGGCUCCUCCGGUAAGUAGAGCCUGAGACAAGAACAGGAUGCAGGUAGUUUAUAGUGAAAAGCAAUCACAAGGAACAGAAAGAGAAGAAUGGAAAAAGUGAAACUGGAAAGAAGAAAAGCCAAUCCAAGGGUGUGCUACAGAACAGGUCACCACUCUGAGCAACUGGAAUAUUAUCCUACUGAGACUGUCUGUAUAGCCAUAGAGAAUGUAAUUGAAGAGAAGAGGCCAGCCUUGUCUCUACUAAAAAUAAAUUUUAAAAGACCGGG
Long non-coding RNA from Pongo pygmaeus (Bornean orangutan), 684 nucleotides. RefSeq lists it as uncharacterized. The transcript has 3 exons. Lineage: Eukaryota; Metazoa; Chordata; Mammalia; Primates; Hominidae. The record is from RefSeq and is a predicted model, not a curated record.